RNAcentral lists this ribosomal RNA (466 nucleotides) under Vreelandella stevensii. Its description in RNAcentral is "partial 16S ribosomal RNA". It matches the Rfam family "Bacterial small subunit ribosomal RNA", at positions 338 to 795 of the family's 1533-position model. Lineage: Bacteria; Pseudomonadati; Pseudomonadota; Gammaproteobacteria; Oceanospirillales; Halomonadaceae. The record is from RNAcentral.
CCUACGGGUGGCUGCAGUGGGGAAUAUUGGACAAUGGGCGAAAGCCUGAUCCAGCCAUGCCGCGUGUGUGAAGAAGGCCUUCGGGUUGUAAAGCACUUUCAGUGGGGAAGAAAGCCUUGGGGCUAAUACCCUCGAGGAAGGACAUCACCCACAGAAGAAGCACCGGCUAACUCCGUGCCAGCAGCCGCGGUAAUACGGGAGGGUGCGAGCGUUAAUCGGAAUUACUGGGCGUAAAGCGCGCGUAGGCGGUCUGAUAAGCCGGUUGUGAAAGCCCCGGGCUCAACCUGGGAACGGCAUCCGGAACUGUCAGGCUAGAGUGCAGGAGAGGAAGGUAGAAUUCCCGGUGUAGCGGUGAAAUGCGUAGAGAUCGGGAGGAAUACCAGUGGCGAAGGCGGCCUUCUGGACUGACACUGACGCUGAGGUGCGAAAGCGUGGGUAGCAAACAGGAUUAGAUACCCUAGUAGUC